RNAcentral lists this ribosomal RNA (429 nucleotides) under Pseudomonadota bacterium. RNAcentral's name for it is "Proteobacteria bacterium partial 16S ribosomal RNA". It matches the Rfam family "Bacterial small subunit ribosomal RNA", at positions 355 to 776 of the family's 1533-position model. The record is from RNAcentral. Lineage: Bacteria; Pseudomonadati; Pseudomonadota.
UGGGGAAUAUUGGACAAUGGGCGAAAGCCUGAUCCAGCCAUGCCGCGUGUGUGAAGAAGGUCUUCGGAUUGUAAAGCACUUUAAGUUGGGAGGAAGGGCAGUAAGCGAAUACCUUGCUGUUUUGACGUUACCGACAGAAUAAGCACCGGCUAACUCUGUGCCAGCAGCCGCGGUAAUACAGAGGGUGCAAGCGUUAAUCGGAAUUACUGGGCGUAAAGCGCGCGUAGGUGGUUCGUUAAGUUGAAUGUGAAAGCCCCGGGCUCAACCUGGGAACUGCAUCCAAAACGGGCGAGCUAGAGUAGGGCAGAGGGUGGUGGAAUUUCCUGUGUAGCGGUGAAAUGCGUAGAUAUAGGAAGGAGCACCAGUGGCGAAGGCGACCACCUGGGCUCAUACUGACACUGAGGUGCGAAAGCGUGGGGAGCAAACAGG